GGGGGCGUUCUGGUUUCGACAGGUUAUAUUUGUAAAUGUUAUAAGCGUACAGGAUUAUACUGAAUCCUAAAAUCGGUAAAACAAAUAAAUGACAACGAUUUAGUUGCAAUGGCUGCCUAGUUCAGCCACGGGUGCUACAAAAGGUUGACUGGUUUGUAGGCUUGUUAAAGUAAAGUCAAGCGAAACUUUCUUUUUCAAGAUUGGGAAAGUUUUUUAAAAUAAAUUUUGAUAGUCAAAAAACAUUUUGUCUGUUUCAUGUUCAUGGCGAAAUCCUUUGAAAUUGACUUUUGUACGGAGAAGGGCAUUUAUGGAUUUUCUUGGACGCGAGUUCGACUCUCGCCGCCUCCACCA
RNAcentral lists this transfer-messenger RNA (351 nucleotides) under Christensenellales. RNAcentral's name for it is "UMGS2069 sp900557585 Standard tmRNA". It matches the Rfam family "transfer-messenger RNA". From Rfam's summary of the family: Bacterial tmRNA, also known as 10Sa RNA or SsrA, is named for its dual tRNA and mRNA-like properties. Its role is to liberate the mRNA from a stalled ribosome. To accomplish this part of the tmRNA is used as a reading frame that ends in a translation stop signal. Lineage: Bacteria; Bacillati; Bacillota; Clostridia. RNAcentral also lists the same sequence under 1 other name. The record is from RNAcentral.